GCUCUAAACUAUAGAAGCAUGGAAGUUUAUGUGGACCUUAGAUUGUUUUGAAAAAUAAUUGAUUGAUUCAAGAAAGCAAAGAGCUUGGAACCUUAACUGUCUCAUUGUAAUCCUUCACCAAGUUCUGGUUUGUGAAGGUCUGCGAAUAACAGUUGAUGAAAAAGUUGCAGUUUUGGAAAUGACUGUCAGCAAUCAAGACGUGAAAAAGAAGUCUUUUAUUCAUAAAAUCUUCACCACAAAGGAGAAAGAAGGAAGCGGCUCUUCAGAUUUCUCAGGUGAGUCUCUAAUGUGUUUCUUUCUGGUUUCAAUUGAAUCACUUAUCACCAUUGUUUUCCGUUGGAGAAAAUCUGGAGAGAGAGAGAGAGGAUAUUCCUUGCAAUUGGGGACUCAUAUUAGAGUUGAUGUUAUCUUUCUUUUUGGAUA
Long non-coding RNA from Pyrus x bretschneideri (Chinese white pear), 423 nucleotides. RefSeq lists it as uncharacterized. The transcript is spliced from 3 exons. The record is from RefSeq and is a predicted model, not a curated record. NCBI's taxonomy places the organism in Eukaryota, Viridiplantae, Streptophyta, Magnoliopsida, Rosales, Rosaceae.